CAGCCGCCGCGGGAAUACGAGGGGGGCAAGCGUUGUUCGGAAUUAUUGGGCGUAAAGGGCGCGUAGGCGGUUUGGCAAGUUUGGUGUGAAAUCUUCGGGCUCAACUCGAAGUCUGCAUCGAAAACUGCCGGGCUUGAGUAUGGGGGAGGUGAGUGGAAUUUCCGGUGUAGCGGUGAAAUGCGUAGAUAUCGGAAGGAACACCUGUGGCGAAAGCGGCUCACUGGACCAUAACUGACGCUGAGGCGCGAAAGCUAGGGGAGCAAACAGGAUUAGAUACCCGUGUAGUCCCUGUCUCUUAUAC
RNAcentral lists this ribosomal RNA (301 nucleotides) under uncultured bacterium. RNAcentral describes it as "partial 16S ribosomal RNA". It matches the Rfam family "Bacterial small subunit ribosomal RNA", at positions 509 to 807 of the family's 1533-position model. The record is from RNAcentral.